UUCGGAUUGUAGUCUGCAACCCGACUACAUGAAGCCGGAAUCGCUAGUAAUCGCGGAUCAGAAUGCCGCGGUGAAUACGUUCCCGGGUCUUGUACACACCGCCCGUCACACCAUGGGAGUUGGAAAUGCCCGAAGUCAGUGGCCCAACCGGAAGGGGGGAGCUGCCGAAGGCAGGUUCGAUGACUGGGGUGAAGUCGUAACAAGGUACC
RNAcentral lists this ribosomal RNA (209 nucleotides) under uncultured bacterium. Its description in RNAcentral is "partial 16S ribosomal RNA". It matches the Rfam family "Bacterial small subunit ribosomal RNA", at positions 1292 to 1500 of the family's 1533-position model. The record is from RNAcentral.